CCUACGGGAGGCAGCAGUGAGGAAUAUUGGUCAAUGGGCGCGAGCCUGAACCAGCCAAGUAGCGUGAAGGAUGACUGCCCUACGGGUUGUAAACUUCUUUUAUAAAGGAAUAAAGUGAGGCACGUGUGCCUUUUUGUAUGUACUUUAUGAAUAAGGAUCGGCUAACUCCGUGCCAGCAGCCGCGGUAAUACGGAAGGCCCGAGCGUUAUCCGGAUUCAUUGGGCUUAAAGGGAGCGUAGGCGGGCGUUCAAGUCAGCUGUAAAAUCGCGCGGCUCAACCGCGCCCCGCAGUUGAAACUGGACGCCUUGAGUUCACAACAGGCAGGCGGAAUUCGUGGUGUAGCGGUGAAAUGCAUAGAUAUCACGAGGAACCCCGAUUGCGAAGGCAGCCUGCCGGGGUGCGACUGACGCUGAGGCUCGAAGGUGCGGGUAUCAAACAGGAUUAGAUACCCGAGUAGUC
Molecule: ribosomal RNA, 459 nt
Filed under: uncultured bacterium
Lineage: Bacteria
Description: partial 16S ribosomal RNA
Rfam family: Bacterial small subunit ribosomal RNA
Source: RNAcentral